Panthera uncia (snow leopard) is the source of this 553-nucleotide long non-coding RNA. RefSeq lists it as uncharacterized. The record is from RefSeq and is a predicted model, not a curated record. Lineage: Eukaryota; Metazoa; Chordata; Mammalia; Carnivora; Felidae. The transcript has 4 exons.
UAUUCAACCAGCCUCACAGAAAGGUCCAUAUGGCAAGGGACUAAGCCUACCUGCCAGUAGUCAGCAAGGAGCUGAACUGAGGCAUCCUGCCAAUAGCCAUGUGAAUGAGCCAACUUGGAAGCAGAUCCUCUAGUUCCAGUCAAGCCUUCAGAUGACUGUAACUCUGAUUAGCAUCUUGACUACAACCUCAUGAGAGGUGCUGAGGCAGAAUCAUGCAGCUAAGCAACCCUCAAAUUCCUGACCCAGAAAAACUAUGAGAACAGAAGUGGCCACCUGUGGUGUUGCUUGGUGAACUGAUUGUCCAGAUCUCAGCCAGCUGACUAGAAAGACUGAAAAGGAAGCAGUCUUUGGUUAAAGAAAGGAUUCCUAAAUUUCUGAAGUUGGACUCUGCUGAUUGUAGGAAAAGAUUGGAUGAUAUCAGAAACCAAAGAAGCUUCUAAAGAGUGAUCUUUCCUUCCCUUUUGUGCUCAACCCACAAUCUCUUUGCGCACAGUUUUUUUGACCAAAGAAGCUGUUUGAUCAACUUGGAAUAUGUUAGCUGAAAAUAAAUCUA